UAUCUCUGUAGAGUCUGCAUAUCAAUAAGCGGAGGAAAAGAAACUAACUAAGGAUUCCCUUAGUAACGGCGAGUGAAGCGGGAAGAGCUCAAAUUUGAAAUCUUCAAGGUUCUACCUUGACGAAUUGUAGUUUAAAGAAGUGUUUUCUGUUAGAUGAGUAGCAAAAGUUCCUUGGAAUGGGACAUCAUAGGAGGGUGAGAAUCCCGUAUUUGGUUAUUCAUUCUAGCUUUGUGAUACACUUUCAAAGAGUCGGAUUGUUUGGGAAUGCAGUCCAAAAUGGGUGGUAAAUUUCAUCUAAAGCUAAAUAUUGGCGAGAGACCGAUAGCGAACAAGUACCGUGAGGGAAAGAUGAAAAGAACUUUGAAAAGAGAGUUAAACAGUACGUGAAAUUGUCAAAAGGGAAGCGUUUGACACCAGUGUUGUUUUUCCGAAAAUCAAUUACGAAUGGCUUGAUUCUGUGUUGUAUUGACCUUAUCAGCUUUCUUCACUUUUUUCGAGUCUUUCUUAAUGCACUUUUCGGUUAACAAGUCAACAUCAAUUUCUUUUGUUGUAAAAGGAGUAUUCGGAAGGUGGCUUUCUUUUCGGAGAAAGUGUUUAUAGCCCUAUACUUCUACAAUCGGAGAGAUUGAGGUCUGCAGCGUAGAUCCUUCGGGGUUAGAUACACUUGUGCUAAGUUGUAGCUUUUCAUAGACAACUUGUUGACUAUGUUUAGUCAUGCGGCUUACUCGCUUGUGCUAUUUUACCUACGCUUAGGAUGUUGACGAGACUGUCGAUCUC
This 777-nucleotide ribosomal RNA is filed under the name uncultured Neocallimastigales. RNAcentral describes it as "partial large subunit ribosomal RNA". It matches the Rfam family "Eukaryotic large subunit ribosomal RNA", at positions 24 to 647 of the family's 3401-position model. Lineage: Eukaryota; Fungi; Neocallimastigomycota; Neocallimastigomycetes; Neocallimastigales. The record is from RNAcentral.